Molecule: ribosomal RNA, 253 nt
Filed under: uncultured bacterium
Lineage: Bacteria
Description: partial 16S ribosomal RNA
Rfam family: Bacterial small subunit ribosomal RNA
Source: RNAcentral
UACAGAGGGGGCAAGCGUUGUUCGGAAUUACUGGGCGUAAAGGGCGCGUAGGCGGCCUGUUAAGUCGAACGUGAAAUCCCCGGGCUCAACCCGGGAACUGCGUCCGAUACUGGCAGGCUUGAAUUCGGGAGAGGGAUGCGGAAUUCCAGGUGUAGCGGUGAAAUGCGUAGAUAUCUGGAGGAACACCGGUGGCGAAGGCGGCAUCCUGGACCGAGAUUGACGCUGAGGCGCGAAAGCCAAGGGAGCAAACGGG